RNAcentral lists this ribosomal RNA (861 nucleotides) under marine metagenome. RNAcentral's name for it is "bacterial SSU rRNA". It matches the Rfam family "Bacterial small subunit ribosomal RNA", at positions 71 to 928 of the family's 1533-position model. The record is from RNAcentral.
AAAGUAUCUUCGGAUAUGAGUAGAGCGGCGGACGGGUGAGUAACGCGUAGGAAUCUACCUAGUAGAAGGGGAUAGCCCGGGGAAACUCGGAUUAAUACCGUAUACCUCCUUUGGGAGAAAGAGGGCCUCUCUUGAUGCUCUCGCUAUUAGAUGAGCCUGCGUAAGAUUAGCUUGUUGGUGAGGUAAUGGCUUACCAAGGCUACGAUCUUUAGCUGGUCUGAGAGGACGAUCAGCCACAUUGGGACUGAGACACGGCCCAGACUCCUACGGGAGGCAGCAGUGGGGAAUAUUGGACAAUGGGCGCAAGCCUGAUCCAGCCAUACCGCGUGUGUGAAGAAGGCCUUCGGGUUGUAAAGCACUUUAAGCAGGGAGAAAAAGUUAUAAGUUAAUACCUUGUAACCGUGAUGUUACCUGCAGAAUAAGCACCGGCUAAUUCCGUGCCAGCAGCCGCGGUAAUACGGAAGGUGCAAGCGUUAAUCGGAAUUACUGGGCGUAAAGCGCGCGUAGGUGGUUUGUUAAGUUGGAUGUGAAAGCCCUGGGCUCAACCUAGGAACUGCAUCCAAAACUAACUCACUAGAGUACGAUAGAGGGAGGUAGAAUUCAUAGUGUAGCGGUGGAAUGCGUAGAUAUUAUGAAGAAUACCAGUGGCGAAGGCGGCCUCCUGGAUCUGUACUGACACUGAGGUGCGAAAGCGUGGGUAGCGAACAGGAUUAGAUACCCUGGUAGUCCACGCCGUAAACGAUGACAACUAGCUGUUGGGAGACAAUGUCUUUCAGUGGCGCAGCUAACGUUUUAAGUUGUCCGCCUGGGGAGUACGGCCGCAAGGCUAAAACUCAAAUGAAUUGACGGGGACCCGCACAA